Molecule: ribosomal RNA, 406 nt
Filed under: uncultured bacterium
Lineage: Bacteria
Description: partial 16S ribosomal RNA
Rfam family: Bacterial small subunit ribosomal RNA
Source: RNAcentral
AUUGAACGCUGGCGGCAGGCCUAACACAUGCAAGUCGAACGAGUGGCGGACGGGUGAGUAAUGUCUGGGAAACUGCCUGAUGGAGGGGGAUAACUACUGGAAACGGUAGCUAAUACCGCAUACCAUCAGAUGAUCCCAGAUGGGAUUAGCUUGUUGGUGGGGUAACGGCUUACCAAGGCGACGAUCCCUAGCUGGUCUGAGAGGAUGACCAGCCACACUGGAACUGAGACACGGUCCAGACUCCUACGGGAGGCAGCAGUGGGGAAUAUUGCACAAUGGGCGAAAGCCUGAUGGAGCCAUGCCGCGUGUAUGAAGAAGGCCUUCGGGUUGUAAAGUACUUUCAGCGGGGAGGCGUUACCCGCUGAAGAAGCACCGGCUAACUCCGUGCCAGCAGCCGCGGUAAUUC